CGAAGCGAACCUGUUGGUAAUCGGUUGUUGUCGUAAAUAACUGGGGAAAUAAUGAUGUCCAUGGAACAAACAUUGGAAGCUUCUUCGAGUCUUGAGUCGGGCACCGGUGGAGGCGAUUGUACAAGCGACAGGGCACCGACGGGUGACCUCGCUAGCCAGCGAGUUCUGGGCUCUACGCAGCGUAGCACUGAUCGUCAUCGGUUUGCUCUCGAUGCCACCGAGGCAGAGGUGACUACGCGCUUCACGAUCUGCUGCGCCCUCACCACUACCUUAGUCGUCAUCGUGCUCUUCGCAAUCACCGGCUCCGUCUGGUACCGCUACGUGCUGCGGCCCAGCCUGCUGUUCGAGCGAACGACGAGAACCCGAGAGGAACAGCGCCAGGUCGUGGUUGUAGUUGUCGAAGCUAGGAACAUCACGCCACUGGCACAAUCCAUGUCUGCUCACGUCGGUCGCAACCACUCUCGCUCGACCGGGGCAAACACUGCGGCUACUACUACGCCAUUGCGCACUAUGCCGAACGGUUCAGUCGCCAAUGCGGCGACGUUGACCUUACCUGAGGAGUUGCUACCUGCGCCCUUGUAACAGCGAGGGCACGCCCAAAGGUCACGAAUUAGCGCUACAUGACAUACUACUGAUAAACAAUUCGUUGCAGUGCAUCGUGUGACUUGUGCUGACUCGCAUCUGCACAUUUUCGUUUUAUUGAGAGAAGAAUAAACAGAGGAGUUGUCGCCGUUUGCUGGCAA
Dermacentor albipictus is the source of this 743-nucleotide long non-coding RNA. RefSeq lists it as uncharacterized. The record is from RefSeq and is a predicted model, not a curated record. Lineage: Eukaryota; Metazoa; Arthropoda; Arachnida; Ixodida; Ixodidae.